CGAAGCGGCUCAUUAUCUGCCACCCUCUUUCGUGCUCGUUCUGUUCUUUGAUGCCACAACAACCACCACCUCAUCGUUAUCCAUUACAUUUUAAUAAAAUAAGUUAACACGCAGCUCAUAAGCCCUCGGCUACACAGGUGUUAGCGGUGGGUGCUUGUGUGUGUGUCAAACAGAUGAGAGUUUCCGGGGGUUGUAGCUAAUUAGCUAGCUCCACUUAGCUUAACUUCGGUCGCCAUAACCUUCGUUAUUUUAACAUAUUACUCAAUGUCAAUAUGACAGAAGUUUACCGAAGCAGUUGAUGAUGCCAAAACAACGAAAUUCGCGUCCAGUCAAACCAGUAAUAUGUGUCUACUUUACAAUGAGGGAGCGGGGAUUUCAACUCCGCCAUCUUGAAAACAUGGCGGUUGAGGCUAUGUCCACAUCGUUUGGACGCUUAUUCGGAGUCAGGGCCUUCAUCUUGCUGCUCCUCAUCAUCCUGAGCGAAGAUGACAUUAGGAGUUUCCAUCAACGGCUGGGACAACGUGAGACUGUCGGAAACUUCCAGGAGACGAUUGAAGAGGACAGAUUGUUGAAGAUGAAUCAGCUUUGUUCUCUUGACGGGAGAUUGAAGCAGAAAGUCCCCCUUUGCUGGACCUGACCAGGAUCUGAUGAGGUUCCCUGAGUGGCAUCAUGAAGUCAACUAGAAACAAGAUGGCGUCAUGAUGAUGAUAGCUCCACUCAGAUGCUGAGGACUCCUCUUCUGCUGGGUCCUACUUUUGUCCCUUGAGGAAGACGACUAUGGAGACUCUUGUACAGGACACAGGAGAAGAUGACGAGUUCACUGAGGAGAUGAAAGAUGGCAGUGAUGGGUCUUCCUUGUACCAUCUGCAGACUCAGGUCUGAGUACUGCCCUCUUCUGGUGUUCAUCAG
Long non-coding RNA from Lates calcarifer (barramundi perch), 909 nucleotides. RefSeq lists it as uncharacterized. The transcript is spliced from 5 exons. The record is from RefSeq and is a predicted model, not a curated record. Lineage: Eukaryota; Metazoa; Chordata; Actinopteri; Centropomidae.